Carya illinoinensis is the source of this 176-nucleotide long non-coding RNA. RefSeq lists it as uncharacterized. The transcript has 2 exons. NCBI's taxonomy places the organism in Eukaryota, Viridiplantae, Streptophyta, Magnoliopsida, Fagales, Juglandaceae. The record is from RefSeq and is a predicted model, not a curated record.
GUGACCACAAACACUAUAGCCAGUGCAUUGAUCGCGGCAUAAAGAAUAAAGGUACCUGAAAACAAGUGAUACAACAAGUCAAAGUGGUGGUAAUUGUUUUCUGGGUUCUUCUUGUUAGGCUGUAAGGAUAAAGAAAUCAGAAAUUAGAACCUGAAUUUCAGCUGCCUCCUGAGAUA